AUCCCUUUUUCCCAAAAUAAUACAGUACCACAAAUCGAACCAAACCCUAGCUUCUCCUCCCCGAUCCCCAUCCGGCGCCUCGCCGGAACCCUAGCCCAGAUCCGCGGCAACUCCGCCGUACCAGCCAUGGGGACCCUUAGGGAGAUCCUGCCGUCGCCCAAGACGUCGUCCUCCACGUUCUACGACCACAGCAGCGACCCGUGGUUCAAGGAGCGGUACGGCGGGGAGCCCGCGGAGGCGGCGGCGGGGAAGCUAGCGGGCCCCGCCAAGCCCGUGCCUCCCUACGGGAAGCGCACCGGCUUCGUCCCCCGGCGGCCGGAGGACUUCGGCGAUGGCGGCGCCUUCCCCGAGAUCCUCCUCGCGCAGUACCCGCUCGGCAUGGGCCGCCGCGACGACAAGGGCGGGUCCAAGAUCCUCGCGCUCACCGUCGACGCGCAGGGCAGCGUCGCCUUCGACGCCGUCGUCAAGCAGGGCGAGAACGCCAAGAAGAUCGUCUACUCCAAGCACAGCGACAUCGUGCCCAAGAUCGCCACGGCCGACUCCGAAGCCGUCGAGGACGAGGAGUACGAUAAGGAGGUCGAGGAGACCAAAGAGCGUACCGUAGCUGCCCUGCAGAAGAUUGUCAACGUCCGCCUCUCUGCUGCCCAGCCCAAAAACGUUCCGACGCAUGAUUCGGAAUCGAAGUUCAUCAAGUAUAAGCCGUCGCAGCAGUCGGCAGCUUUCAAUUCAGGUGCCAAGGAGAGGAUUAUUAGGAUGUCGGAGAUGGCUUCAGAUCCUCUCGACCCACCAAAGUUCAAGCAUAAGCGAGUGCCCCGUGCAUCCGGGUCGCCGCCUGUGCCGGUGAUGCACUCGCCACCGCGGCCUGUCACAGUGAAGGACCAGCAGGAUUGGAAGAUCCCACCUUGCAUCUCAAAUUGGAAGAAUCCAAAGGGUUACACAAUCCCACUUGACAAGAGGUUGGCAGCUGAUGGGAGGGGGCUGCAGGAGGUUCAGAUUAAUGAUAACUUUGCAAAGCUUUCAGAAGCGUUGUAUGUUGCAGAGCAGAAGGCGAGGGAAGCAGUGCAGAUGCGCUCCAAGGUGCAGAGGGAGCUAAUGCUAAAGGAGAAGGAGAGGAAGGAGCAAGAGUUGAGGGCACUUGCACAGAAGGCCCGCAUGGAAAGGUCUGGUGCUCCACCUCCAUCCACGGGUAUGCCUGUUGGAGGUGGGAGGGAGAGAGAGCGGGAGAGGGUUGAUGAUGGGGAUGCAGAUAUGGAUUUGGAGCAGCCGCGUGAGCAGCGCAGGGAGACUAGAGAAGAGAGGGAGGCGAGGAUUGAGCGUGACAGGAUCCGUGAGGAGCGGAGGCGUGAGAGGGAGAGGGAGAGGAGGCUGGAGGCGAAGGAGGCUGCUGGAACACAUAAAAAGAGUAAGCUCACUAGAGACAGGGACCGUGACGUCGGUGAGAAGGUGGCCCUGGGUAUGGCACACACUGGUGCAAAGACCGGGGAAGUCAUGUAUGACCAGAGGCUCUUUAACCAGGACAAGGGAAUGGACUCUGGUUUUGGUGCUGAUGAUCAGUACAACCUGUAUUCGAAGGGCCUCUUCACAGCACAGUCCAGUAUGUCCUCACUUUACAGGCCCAAGAAGGAUGGUGAUUCUGAAGUGUAUGGUGGUGAUGCCAACGAACAGUUGGACAAGGUUAUGAAGACAGAGAGGUUCAAGCCUGACAAGGCGUUUACCGGUGCUCCAGAGAGGGCUGGCAAGAGAGAUAGACCGGUGGAGUUUGAUAAGCAAGAGGAGGCCGAUCCAUUUGGUCUUGAUCAGUUCUUGACUGAGGUGAAGAAGGGGAAGAAAGCUGUGGACAAGAUUGGUGGCGGUGGAACUAUGAAGGCAAGUGGUGGAUCUUCGAGGGAUGAUUACGAGGGUGGAGGAUCUGGGAGGUCUCGCAUUAACUUCGAAAGAGGAGGGCGUUGAGGAUUUCUUUGGAGAAUAUGAUCCUUCUUACACAAGGAAGCAAAUAUCAUCCUGAAGUAUUACUUUGGAGAAUAUGAUCUUUCUUACAGAAGGAAGAACCUGAUGGUUUAGUUGCUGUGAUAGGGCUGCUUGUUCUAUUUCAACCAUUGUGUUAAACGGUGUACCUACUUAUUAGAUCCUAUGAUGCUUGUAUGCUGUGUAGCUUUGUGACGGGAUCCAUGAACUUUGUCGUUACACAUGUUACAUAGGCUCAUCCAUGUCCUGUUAAUUUCAAAGCUGUAUCGAAGUUGUAAUAUAUGUGGCUGGACUGGGUAUAUGUCUCAUCUCUUGUUUAUCAUGCUUGCUGGUUGGAUGAGUUUGUGGUCGUUUUCCAAAAU
This 2327-nucleotide ribosomal RNA is filed under the name Triticum aestivum (bread wheat). RNAcentral describes it as "partial small subunit ribosomal RNA". Lineage: Eukaryota; Viridiplantae; Streptophyta; Magnoliopsida; Poales; Poaceae. The record is from RNAcentral.